RNAcentral lists this ribosomal RNA (553 nucleotides) under uncultured bacterium. RNAcentral's name for it is "partial 16S ribosomal RNA". It matches the Rfam family "Bacterial small subunit ribosomal RNA", at positions 355 to 900 of the family's 1533-position model. The record is from RNAcentral.
UAGGGAAUCUUCGGCAAUGGACGAAAGUCUGACCGAGCAACGCCGCGUGAGUGAAGAAGGUUUUCGGAUCGUAAAACUCUGUUGGUAGAGAAGAACGUUGGUGAGAGUGGAAAGCUCAUCAAGUGACGGUAACUACCCAGAAAGGGACGGCUAACUACGUGCCAGCAGCCGCGGUAAUACGUAGGUCCCGAGCGUUGUCCGGAUUUAUUGGGCGUAAAGCGAGCGCAGGUGGUUUAUUAAGUCUGGUGUAAAAGGCAGUGGCUCAACCAUUGUAUGCAUUGGAAACUGGUAGACUUGAGUGCAGGCGAGGAGAGUGGAAUUCCAUGUGUAGCGGUGAAAUGCGUAGAUAUAUGGAGGAACACCGGUGGCGAAAGCGGCUCUCUGGCCUGUAACUGACACUGAGGCUCGAAAGCGUGGGGAGCAAACAGGAUUAGAUACCCUGGUAGUCCACGCCGUAAACGAUGAGUGCUAGAUGUAGGGAGCUAUAAGUUCUCUGUAUCGCAGCUAACGCAAUAAGCACUCCGCCUGGGGAGUACGACCGCAAGGUUGAAAC